GAACUUCCAGGCUAGAUUAUUUGUGUUGCGGCAGUAGCAGGCCUGUGAGUUUGGGCAGGUCCGCGGAGACAAACAGUGGAGUCGCGUUACGUUUCAGUGCAGCAGCUCCGGUUGGACAACAGAGAACUCUGGCGUUGCUAGGCAACCAGGGGAUACUCGACUCCAGGAAGUUAUCGGCCAAGAACUUGUCCGACACAUGAACCCACCAGAAAACUACACUUUCACUUUCAAACCUCCGUUUUUUCUGAGAGUCCCCUGGUAUUGCCACCAAACCUAGACAACGUCCCUUCUGCUGGUCCCAGUUCAGGUAGACUUGUCUUUGCACUGACUGAGCACCUCCUGCAUUUUCUUCUGGAUGUCCUCCACCCUCUUGGCCCACUUAUC
Molecule: long non-coding RNA, 384 nt
Organism: Acanthopagrus latus (yellowfin seabream)
Lineage: Eukaryota; Metazoa; Chordata; Actinopteri; Spariformes; Sparidae
Exons: 3
Source: RefSeq, a predicted model, not a curated record